Non-coding RNA from Chiloscyllium plagiosum (whitespotted bambooshark), 586 nucleotides. The record is from RefSeq and is a predicted model, not a curated record. Lineage: Eukaryota; Metazoa; Chordata; Chondrichthyes; Orectolobiformes; Hemiscylliidae.
CUAAUUUCCUGUUUUGAAGGAAGUUUUAAAGUGCAAUUUCAGUCCAAAAAUCACUAAGAAAUAUCUAACAGACAAGAAACAGAAGUAUUUCAACAAGGCAGAGUGACAGCUUGUGACUAAACAUCUAACAAGUCCAUUACAGCAUGGGCAGGAUCUAUGCGUCUCAUGCCUGAAGAGACCAGCCCCGCAGAUUGAGCUUCCUCAAUCUCUGAAGAAGAAGGCGCAGACCCCUCGGAAGAAGCAAUGGCAAGGCAGUCUCCUGCACCUUGCACCAGCUCAAGUACUCAUACCUCCAUGGGUACUUUAUCCACAUUUUGAUUUGAGAGCACAUUCUGGUGCACACAUAACUUUCAUAACUCUGCAUGUAUAGAUGCUUGAUGUUGCACCUUUGUGAAAUUUACUCAUGGUUUCCGGGUAAUAAAAUUGCUCUUUCUUUCACUCGCGAAAACCCUGUACUUAUAACCUUACUGGAACAAUAAAUAUUGGGUAACAUUUUUAUUAAAGAGAGGGGUAUAGCUUUGAACUAUGAAGGACAUAAGAUCUUUGAUGUGGCAAUCUGGGGAAAUUGAAAAGAAGGGAGUCAAUU